ACGUAGGGUGCGAGCGUUAAUCGGAAUUACUGGGCGUAAAGCGUGCGCAGGCGGUUUUAUAAGCCAGAUGUGAAAUCCCCGGGCUCAACCUGGGAAUGGCAUUUGGGACUGUAAGGCUAGAGUAUGGCAGAGGAGACUAGAAUUCCUGGUGUAGCAGUGAAAUGCGUAGAUAUCAGGAGGAAUACCGAUGGCGAAGGCAGGUCUCUGGGUCAAUACUGACGCUCAUGCACGAAAGCGUGGGGAGCAAACAGGAUUAGAUACCCUGGUAGUCCACGCCCUAAACGAUGUCAACUGGUUGUUGGGGGAUUUAUUCUCUUAGUAACGAAGCUAACGCGUGAAGUUGACCGCCUGGGGAGUACGGUCGCAAGAUUA
This 372-nucleotide ribosomal RNA is filed under the name uncultured bacterium. Its description in RNAcentral is "bacterial SSU rRNA". It matches the Rfam family "Bacterial small subunit ribosomal RNA", at positions 525 to 896 of the family's 1533-position model. The record is from RNAcentral.